CUAGAAUCACACUGAGGAGUGGGCUGUGCUGGGCAAGGUCACUGCAGCAUGGCCCCUCGUGCAUAGGACGGUGGCUUGUGUCGUGUGCACCACCAUGAGCACAGCACGGAGCCCCUCUGACUCCGCCUGCUUGCGUCCAGACCACGUGAGUGCCCCCUCUGUGGAAGAUGUAUGUGAUCGCAUCUAGGGCCCUGCAGGGUAAUCCGGACGGAUCUGCCGACUGCGGCCUUCACCUGCCUCACAUUUGUGGCGCUCCUUUCUCCGGGGCCAUCCUCUUCCUUCCCGCUGCCUCCCGUGCCUGGCCGUCCACAGCGGCUGACUGCUCGUCUCGCUCGAUGCUGGCCAUCGGUUCUCGGGAGCAUAAACAGUCCAAGCUGUCACACCGCAGCACUUACAAAGGUGCGAUCUGCACCGUCAGGCGUCCCUCAGCCAAGCUGUUAGAACGCAAGCUCCUGUCCACUGGACUCCAUCCACAAUAGAGAGAGAAAUCCCUGGAGCUAAGGUGAGAGACAGGAGAGCCGGGCGCUGCCUGAGUCCCGGCACAGCUGAGAAGUCUGCUGCAUGGAGGAUUCUAACAGCACGGUGCUUUGGACCGAGGAUCCAACUGAGAGCACACGGCCAAUUGUUUGCAUUAGGAGUGGCUAAUUUUCCUGUUUCAGAAUUCGUCUCAUGCUGGGUCACGUAUGAUUUCUCAAGACCUGGGAAGAAUACUCAAGAUGGAAGUGAAGGACCCACAAAUUCACCCUGAUCUUUACUCUUAGGCUGAGCUAAUAAAAGUU
Molecule: long non-coding RNA, 779 nt
Filed under: Chinchilla lanigera (long-tailed chinchilla)
Lineage: Eukaryota; Metazoa; Chordata; Mammalia; Rodentia; Chinchillidae
Description: lncRNA (ENSCLAG00000025944.1)
Source: RNAcentral